CCCCGGUAAACGGCGGCCGUAACUAUAACGGUCCUAAGGUAGCGAAAUUCCUUGUCGGGUAAGUUCCGACCUGCACGAAUGGCGUAAUGAUGGCCAGGCUGUCUCCACCCGAGACUCAGUGAAAUUGAACUCGCUGUGAAGAUGCAGUGUACCCGCGGCAAGACGGAAAGACCCCGUGAACCUUUACUAUAGCUUGACACUGAACAUUGAGCCUUGAUGUGUAGGAUAGGUGGGAGGCUUUGAAGUGUGGACGCCAGUCUGCAUGGAGCCGACCUUGAAAUACCACCCUUUAAUGUUUGAUGUUCUAACGUGGACCCGUAAUCCGGGUUGCGGACAGUGUCUGGUGGGUAGUUUGACUGGGGCGGUCUCCUCCUAAAGAGUAACGGAGGAGCACGAAGGUUGGCUAAUCCUGGUCGGACAUCAGGAGGUUAGUGCAAUGGCAUAAGCCAGCUUGACUGCGAGCGUGACGGCGCGAGCAGGUGCGAAAGCAGGUCAUAGUGAUCCGGUGGUUCUGAAUGGAAGGGCCAUCGCUCAA
This 535-nucleotide ribosomal RNA is filed under the name Salmonella enterica. RNAcentral describes it as "partial 23S ribosomal RNA". It matches the Rfam family "Bacterial large subunit ribosomal RNA", at positions 1918 to 2452 of the family's 2925-position model. RNAcentral also lists the same sequence under 1 other name. The record is from RNAcentral. Lineage: Bacteria; Pseudomonadati; Pseudomonadota; Gammaproteobacteria; Enterobacterales; Enterobacteriaceae.